Molecule: non-coding RNA, 272 nt
Organism: Cinara cedri
Lineage: Eukaryota; Metazoa; Arthropoda; Insecta; Hemiptera; Aphididae
Source: the annotation of a GenBank genome assembly
UAUCUAUACACAAUUUCAUCCACCUGGCUUCAUUUGCGGAGUGUAUAGAAGUGUUAAAAAUCACCCUUCACCUACAACAACAUGGUUAAAUUCAAAUUGAAAUUUAACCAAAUUUUUAUCAUUUGUACGCUUUGGCAAACUUUUAUCACUUCAGUUCACCUAAAAAAUAGCUCUUGAUUUCGUAAUCUGUGCUUAUUUAACCCAUAGGGAACCAUUAAAAAUGUUCAACAGUAGCAGGAAAAAUAUAACAUUAAUGUAUAUAUACACAACGC